This 110-nucleotide small nucleolar RNA is filed under the name Zalophus californianus (California sea lion). Its description in RNAcentral is "Small nucleolar RNA U3 (ENSZCAG00015015614.1)". It matches the Rfam family "Small nucleolar RNA U3". From Rfam's summary of the family: Small nucleolar RNAs (snoRNAs) are involved in the processing and modification of rRNA in the nucleolus. The record is from RNAcentral. RNAcentral also lists the same sequence under 1 other name. Lineage: Eukaryota; Metazoa; Chordata; Mammalia; Carnivora; Otariidae.
AAGACUAUACUUUCAGGGAUCAUUUCUAUAGUUCAUUAAUUUUUGGAAACAGUUCACAUCAGGCAUGUUAACGCUUAGCCAGGAUAAGCCAAAGAGAUGGUGAUGAUGGC